GAUCAUGGCUCAGGAUGAACGCUAGCUACAGGCUUAACACAUGCAAGUCGAGGGGCAGCAUGAAGGAAGCUGCUCCUUGAUGGCGACCGGCGCACGGGUGAGUAACGCGUAUCCAACCUUCCCCUUAGUAGGGCAUAGCCCGUAGAAAUGCGGAUUAAUACCCUAUGUUCUUCGUUGAGGACAUCUGAGAUGGAGCAAAGCUUUUGCGCUAAGGGAUGGGGAUGCGUCCGAUUAGGUAGUAGGCGGGGUAACGGCCCACCUAGCCGUCGAUCGGUAGGGGUUCUGAGAGGAAGGUCCCCCACACUGGAACUGAGACACGGUCCAGACUCCUACGGGAGGCAGCAGUGAGGAAUAUUGGUCAAUGGGCGCAGGCCUGAACCAACGCCAAGUAGCGUGGAGGACGACGGCCCUACGGGUUGUAAACUUCCUUUUAUGCGGGGAUAAAGUGCCCUACGUGUUAGGGUUUUGCAGGUACCGCAUGAAUAAGGACCGGCUAAUUCCGUGCCAGCCGCCGC
This 515-nucleotide ribosomal RNA is filed under the name uncultured bacterium. Its description in RNAcentral is "bacterial SSU rRNA". It matches the Rfam family "Bacterial small subunit ribosomal RNA", at positions 15 to 518 of the family's 1533-position model. The record is from RNAcentral.